RNAcentral lists this ribosomal RNA (253 nucleotides) under uncultured bacterium. RNAcentral describes it as "partial 16S ribosomal RNA". It matches the Rfam family "Bacterial small subunit ribosomal RNA", at positions 524 to 776 of the family's 1533-position model. The record is from RNAcentral.
UACCGAGGGCUCAAACGGUGUUCGGAAUUACUGGGCGUAAAGCGAAUGUAGGUGGCUUUUCAAGUCGGAUGUGAAAUCCCUAGGCUUAACCUAGGACGUGCGUCCGAUACUGGAGAGCUCGAGUGCGGUAGAGGAAAGUGGAAUUCCUGGUGUAGGGGUGAAAUCCGUAGAUAUCAGGAGGAAUACCGAUGGCGAAGGCAACUUUCUGGUCCGUAACUGACAAUCAGAUUCGAAAGCGUGGGGAGCAAACAGG